Pan troglodytes (chimpanzee) is the source of this 14316-nucleotide long non-coding RNA. RefSeq lists it as uncharacterized. Lineage: Eukaryota; Metazoa; Chordata; Mammalia; Primates; Hominidae. The record is from RefSeq and is a predicted model, not a curated record. The transcript is spliced from 3 exons.
GUCUUGCUGUGUCACCCAGGCUGGAGUGCAGUGGUGUGAUCUCAGCUCACUGCAAGCUCUCCCUUCUGGGUUCAGGCCAUUCUCCUGCCUCAGCCUCCCGAGUAGCUGGGACUACAGGUGCCCGCCACCACGCCCAGCUAAUUUUUUGUAUUUUUAGUAGAGACGGGGUUUCACCAUGUUAGCCAGGAUGGUCUUGAUCUCCUGACCUCGUGAUCCACCCACCUCAAGUCUUUAGGGUAUCCACCUAGGAAUGGAAUCGCUGAGUCUGUGUUUAACUUUUUGAGGAACUGCCAAACUCUUUUCCACAGAGGCUGAACUGUUUUACACUCCCACCAACAGUGCUGUGGGCUCCAAUUCCUGUAUGUCCUUGUCCACGCUUAUGAUUUUCCAAUUUUUGAUUAUAACCAUCUUAGUGGGUAUGAAGGGGUCACGGUUUUGAUUUGCAUUUUCCUAAUUGUUCAUGAUGCCGUGCAUCUUUUCAAUGUGCUUCUUGGCCAUUUAUAUAUUGAGUAGACAUUUGAAAUGUUUACUCAAUUUCUUUUCCAUUUUAAAUUAGGUUGUUUGUCUUUUUGUUAUUUAUUUACUUUUGAGACAAGGUCUCACUCUUUCACCCAGGCUGGAGUGCAGUGACACAAUCAUGGCUCACUGCAGCCUCAACCUCCCAGGUUCCAGUGAUCCUCCCACCUCAACCUCCUGAAUAGCUAGGACUGUAGGGAUGCGCCACCACACUCAGCUAAUUUCUCUAAUUUUUUUUAGAGAUGGGGUCUCACUAUGUUGCCAGGAAUGGUCUCAAACUCCUGGGCUUAAGCGAUCCUCCUGCCUGGGCCUCCCAAACUAUUGGGAUUAUAGUUGUGCACCACCGUGCCUGACCCGUCUUUUUGUUGUUUACUUGUAAACAUUCCUCAUAUAUUCUGAAUAGUAGACCCUUAUCAGAUAUAUAAUUUGCAAAUAUAUUUUCCUAUUAUGAAGAUUGUCUUUUUACUUUUUUAAUAAUGUACGUUAGUGCACAAAGGUUUUUAAUGUUGAUGAAGUACAAUUUAUCUAUUUUUCAUAUGUUGCUCAUGCCUUUAGUGUCAUAUCUAAGAAUCCAUUGCCAGAUCCAAGGUCAUGAAUAUUUACUCCUAUGUUUUCCUCUGUCUAUUUCUUCCUUUUCUUAUUUCACCCCUCCUACGCACACACCUCUUUUUCUUUUUCUUGCCUCUUUGUACUCUCCAGAAUUUUAAGUACAAUGUUAAAUAGGAGUGGCGAAUAUGGGCAUUCUUCCCUUGUUCUUGAUCUGAAGAAAAAAACAUUUAGUCUUUCAUCGUUAAAUAUGAUGUUAACUACAGGGUUAAAAAUAAAACCAGAUACCUUUAUCCCUGUAAGUAUCAUGAGUGGGUAUCAAAUGUUGUUGAAUGCCUUUUCUGCAUCAACGGCAAUCCCAUGUGCGAUCCCCUAUGAUAUGAUUAUAUGGCCAUUCUUCUUCAGCUUGUUGAAACAGUGGAUAAUAGUGAUUGAUAAUCAAAGAUCAGACCAGUUUUAUAUUUCUGGGAUAAAGCCCACUUGGUCAUGAUAUGUUAUUCUUUUUAUAUAUUGAGCAUUUGAUUUGCUAGUACUUACUAGAGUUUCUUGUGUCUGUGUUAGCGAGGAAAAUUGCUUUUAACUUUAUUUUCUUAUAUUACCUUUGGCUUUUCUAUCAAAUAAUGCCAUUUGCAAAAAAAAAAAAUGGGCUAGGAAAUGUUCCCAUCUCUUCCGUUUUCUGGAAGACAUUAUGUAGAGUUGUUUUUUUUUUUUUUUUAGAUAUUUAAUAGAAUUUGUCAAUAAAACCGUUUGGUCCUGCAAAUUUCCUUUCUUGGUCGGUUUUGAACUAUAAAUUUAAGUUACAAAUAGUUAUAGGACUAUUCAGGAUAUCUGUUUCAUCUUGGAUGAGUUAGGUAACUUUUUCUUUCAAGGAUUAGUUCACACUAAGUUGUCAAAUUUGUGUGUGUAGAGUUUUUCCUAGUAUUCUAUUAUCUCCAUGUCUGUGAAGCCUGUAGCAGCAUUUAUUAUUUCUUUCCUGAUAUUGAACAUUUUCAUCUUCCAUCUUUUUCUUUGUCAAAUUCAUUAGAAGUUUGUCAAUAUUAUUGAUCUUUUCAGAGAACAAGCUUUUGGAUUUAUUGAUUUUUUUCUAUUUUUUCUGCCUUCAAUUUCAUCAAUUUUUUUCUCUUAUCUUUAUUAUUUCCUUUCAUGUUCUUAUUUUGUGUUUAUUUUGCUCUUCUUUUUCUAGUUGCUUAAGAUGUAAGCAUACAUGAUUAAUUUGAGACUUUGUUUCUUUUUAAGCGUAAGCAUUUGAUGCUAUAUAUUUCCCUCUAAGCACUGAUUUACCUGCAUCCCAUGAAUUGUGUUAUGUUGUAUUUUCAUUUACAUUCAAUUCAAAAUAAGUUUUAAUUUAUUUGAUACUUCCUAUGAUCCAUGGCUUAUUUGGAAGUAUGUUGCUUAGUUUCCAAAUGUUUGUAGAUUUUUCUGUUAUAUUUCUGUUUUUGAUAUCUGGUUUAAUUUCAUUAUGAUCACAGCACAUACUACAUAUGCUUUCAAUAAUUGUGCAUUUGUUAAAGUUUCUUUUAUUCUUUCUUGGUGAGUGUUCCAUGUACAAUUGAAAAGAAUAUGUAUUCUAUUAGUGUUGGAUAGAUUGUUCUAUAAAUGUAGUUUAUGAUCCACUUGGUUGAUGGUAUUGUUCAGUUCUUUUAUAUCCCUGUGAUUUUCUGUCUAUAGUUCUGUCAUUUAUCGAGAGAUGAAUGUUGAAGUUUCCAGUGUUUUUUAUGGAUUUCUAAAUUUCUUCUUUCAGUUGGAACAGUUUGCUUUUUCUCUUUUUAAGUUCCAUUAUUAGGGGUGCACACCGUUAGCAUUGUUCUGACUUCUUGGUGAGUCAACUCUUUUACCAUUAUACUACCUGCCUUUUUAUGUCUGGGAAUUAGUUUUUGCUCCAAAUCUACUUUGUCUGAUAUUAAUAUAGCCACUCCAUCUUUCUUUUGAUUGGCAUUUGCUUGAUAAGUCUUCUCUAUUUUGUUAUUUGUAUCCUAUCCAUAUUCUUAUAUUUGAAGCAAGGUUCUUUCUGACAGCAUAUAGUUGGGUCAUAUUUUUCAAAUCUGUUCUGGCAUCUUUGUAUUUUAAUUAGUGUGUUUAGACUGGGCUUGUGUUUAAAGCAAUUAUUGGUAUGUUUGGAUUUAAGUCUAGCUUUUUAUUAUUGAUUUUCUAUAUACUACUGUUGAUUUUCUCUUUUUCUGCCUUUUUUUGGUAUUUACACAUUUUCUAGUUUGCUAUUUUAGCUUACUUGUGUUGUUUCCUACACUGAUAUAUUUUUAAAACCCAAGAGAAGAAAAGUGUUUCAUAUUUACCCAGCUAUUUCCAAUUUAUAUUUUACUUUCUUUAUUCUUGAUAUUUCAAAGUAUCUUUUAAUAUCAUAUUUCUUAUGUUUAAAAAACUUCCCUUAACAAUUCUUUUAGACAAAUAUAUAUUCUUUUAGUUUUUCUUCACUUGAAAAAUGUCUUUAUUUCACCUGUUCUGGGUAUUUUUUUCUUCAUUUGAAAAAUGUCUUUAUCUCACCUGUACUGGGUAUUUUUUUCCACUGGACAUAGAAUUCUAAUAGUUCUUCGCCUUCAACAAUUUAAAUCUAUUGUUUACUUUCUUUCCUUCUGGCCUCUAUUUAGUUUCUGAUAAUAAACUCUGAGUCAUUCAAAUCAGUGUUCCCCUCUAAAUAAUGUGCUGUCUCUGGCUACUUUUAGGAUUUCUCAUUCUCUCUAAUUUUCCGACAUCUAAUUAUGACAUGUCUGUGUGUGGAUUGGGUUCUUUAGCUUUGUGAGUCUGUAGAUGUAUGCCUUUCUCUUAUGGCAAAAUGUUGGUGUUUGGGGGUCUUUGCAGGCCAAUGAUUGGGUCAGGUUCCAGGCUGCAAGCUUCAAUUCACCUUCUAUAGGUAGAUCUGUUUUUGCGGUACUAUUCAGAUCUGUCCUGCAUGCGUGCCCACCAACGGCCUGUCUGGGUGUGGGCAGUGUGGGCAGUUUUCAGUUUGGUAGCUGUUUAGAGUCUGAUCCAUGCACGCGCACAUCAAAGAUGAGUCCAGGAGUCCAUGAACAAUUUUACUGGAUCUCCUUCCCUCAUUCCACCGUCCCACUGAACUCCCCAUUACUUUUCAGAUCCUAACAUUCCUCUUGUUGACUCCUUGUUUCUAAAAUUGUGUCUUUACUUACUCUGCACAUAAUUUCUGUGGCUGCAGCCAUAUCUGGGCUAAACAGCAGGAGAACUGGAGAAAAAAUAUGGUAAAAUUGUCCUGCUUUGGUGGCACAUCUAAAUCUGGUUUUCUUCCCCAGUCUGUCUGCUACUGUUCACUGACAGAGUCCUCUAAUAGCUGCUCCAUGCACUCAGCAGGAGAGACAGGCUGGAGUGGCCUGCUAAACUUUACCUGGGACUGGCACCAGCCACAAUACAGAGUACUUGUUUUGAUGGUUUUAAGUAUGAUGGUGAUAAAUGGAAGAGAAUGAAACGGUUCGACUUUGGUCAUUUAAAAAAUCUUUUCACUCUCUUUUCUAAAGCUUGAACACACCAUAGUCUACCAAUUUAGUUAACCAUCAUUCAUGGGCUUUUCGAUUUUAAUGGCUGUAUGCUGGCUCUUUCCAUGCACUUUUUCACUCUAGCUUACUGGACUUUAAAUUACAUGCAUUACCUUGUACUCAUCUGGGGUACCAUCGCUUUUACACAAGAAUUCUUAAAGCCUAAGACUCAGUGCACCCAUCCUGUAUCUGAACCCAAGAGUCAUUUUGUCGUCCUCAUGAAACUAGACAAAUCUGAGUUCAGAUGCUGACUCUGCCACUUACAAACUUGUGACCUUGGGUAAGAUAUAAAACCUCUCAGAGAUCUGCACAAAUUAGGUCAUUUUUACUUGUAAUUCUUCCAAAUCAGAAUCAUAGACUGAGAAGGAUUUACAAAAAAAGACAAAACCUGUUUGGCUGUAUCACUCAUCAUCCUUUUACUCAUUCUCUGAUUCCUUCCAUCUGUUCCUUCCAUCCACUCAUCCAUCCAUCAUCCAUCCAUCCAUCCAUCCAUCCAUCCAUCCAUCAUCCAUCCAUCAUCCAUCCAUCCACCAUCCAUCCAUACAUACAUACAUUCAUCUGUUCAUCCAUCCAUCUAUUCAUCCAUCUGUUCAUCCAUCCAUCCAUCCAUCCACUGAUCCAUCUCUUCAUCAUUCAUAUUCUGCGUGCUUAUUAUUUCCCAAGUACUAGGUUAGGUACAGGAUAAAUGGAAAUCAAUAAUGUCGUCCUUAAGAAGUGUUGUGCAAAAAAAAAUAAUAAUAAUUGUGGAAGAAACCUGUAAUUUGUCAGGUUAAGGAAUUAAAAAAGUAGUUAUGCAAUAGAUAGGGUGAGGUUGAGGGUUGGAUUACAAAUGGAAUAAAGGUUGCCCACAUCUGAGUGUUGCCUGGAAGAUUAAAUGAGAAAUAUGCAAGACGAAGUGCACAUGGCAUCUCUUCCUUCAUCCAGGCCCCGAGUGAGGUCCAGGGAUGCAAUGUCAUGGCAUAGCCCCUGCCUCAGGAGACUUUAUACCAAUGUGGAUUGUUUUCCUCUCUCUUUCUGCAUUCUCCUUUACACGUGUGUCUAAAUCAUUCUGAGGAUAAUUUUGUGGUCAACUUCAUUUCUACCUGAAUGACAAAUUCCCUAUAUUUAAAUCCCAUGAUGCAAAAAUAGCAUUUAGUUUUAUUGGACCUAAGAUGAUCUCUCUGCAAUAUUAAAAGGUGUCCCCUAGAGUAAUUUUUAAGUAUCUGAGGUUUUGUUAAGAUCAUUCUUUUCAUAAUUCAUAUCUUCUUUAACCUUUGUUAUUCCAGAUUUAAGAGAGUUUUCAAGUCGUGUUCUAAGAAGCUUCUGAUCCUUAUCCUUCUGAUCAUUUGAGUUAUACCUGUCUGACUCUACUAUGUCUCCCUGCUGCUUUGAUAAAAGACAAUUUCACAUACUGUGGAGGUCAUCAGUCAAUCUAAUGUUUAUUAAUCAUCCCCUCAUUUCACAUGGCUUUCUCUGGACCCCUUGGGAGGAGACAAGGUAAUAAAUCCUAUCCUCCAUCCCAGGUUCAUGAUCAUUUGGAUAGACAAGGUAUAUAUAGAGAAAAUAUUUAAUAAUUAGAGUCCUGAAGGAGGGACUUUGCAGUGAACUUCAACAUGUCAAGCCUCCUUCUUCUCCCACUUCCAAACCACAGUGAAUCACGCGGGAGAAGUGAAAAUAUCUUUUAAAGACAUAAAGAGAAAAAUAUUUCACAAGCCUGUUCGAUAACUUUCUGAAAACACUCAUUGUUCAGGGUGCUGCUUAAAUGAUCUUUCUGCUUCUGCCGGUGGCAAGGCCCCUCCAGCUCUGAAAGCAUGCAGAGGACAGCCCAUUGUUCCCUUAACGCCUGAGCAUCAAUCACCUGGUCACCCAACACUCAGCCAGCUCUGCGCAGAAUGUUUCUAAGUGAUUUCGACUGCAAGACUUUUCGCCAUUGGGUCCACGUGGGAACCUCUCCCUCUGGCUCUCCUUACACCUCCACAUGGGUGGACACAUGGCCCCGGCCUCUGGAGGGAUGGAGAGGGAGGGUGCUUCUGGAGAGAGGAGAUCUGAUGGGGCUGGGGUCUCUCCAGCCCUGCACGUGGCACCCUGUGAACUCACAGCCUUUCAUGCCAGCUCCUUCCCUGGUCCUCAGCCCUCUCCUCAGUGCGGUUUACGGCAAUGGUCACCUGAACGUUUGUUUUGACAGUCACAAAUUCCCAGAAACAGGGAAACGGAACUCGCUAGCGACGUUGUGUGGAUGAGUUUGCUUUAGGCUGGAACAAGCCUUGCCUUUGGGUAACGGGCUUCCGGGUGCGCCCUGGCCGGCUGUGUGCGCGCGGAAGGCGGUCACCUGGGCCCCCUGGGCGCGCGCCCGCCCGCCCGCCUGCCCCGCGCGCACCUGCAGGAGGCUCUGGCGCGCUCCCUCCCUCCCUCCCUCCCUCCCUGGCUGCGCUGCGAAGGGCGCGGGAGAGGGGGAUUCUAGCAGCGCUGAAUCACUUUCCCACAGCCUCUGCGUGGGGAGCGCUUCCUCUGAUGCACGCCCUAUUUGUACUUCCUGAGUGCGCGUGGACUGCGGGCCCUGCUCGCCGCAGACUUGCCCGAAAUAGCAGCGCGCGGGCUCGGCUCCCCGCGCCGCCCGCAGCAUCUGCCUCCCCCUCCCGCCUCGUGGGCAACCGGGCGCGGCUGAGUCACGGUGACACUGAGUCACUCGCCAGCGUCAGGAAAUGCCUUUUUUAGACUUCCAGUUUGAAAUGGAGCAGCAGGUGACUUUUUAAAUUCGGUUUUGUGUUUUAUCUUCAAUUUCCCUGGGGGCAGUUCUUGCUGGUUUCACAUUUCCCCACGACUUGCUGCUUGGGGCAAGUUCCGCACCAAAUGCACCUAGGCGGAGCUCCGCCUUAAGGGAUAUUCAUUUUUCCGAUGUAACUGAGGAAAUUCUGCAGACUGGUUUUGAAGCAGUCUUCGCUAGACACUCCAUGCAACAGUGUGUAUUUGUACGUGGGUGGACGGCUUGCUAUCUGUGACGCGUUCCCAGGACAGACUGCAGGUGGCACCAGGGUCCCCUGAUUGUGAAGUUCCACCUCCGCAGAAUGGCUUAGGUGCAAUUUAUAGCAGCAUUGCCCUUUUUAAUUCAGUGUUUAACAAGGUUAACCUGAAGCAGGUUACUAGGUGCUAAUUAGGAUCUGUGGCCAGGUCAAUGCAUUUUUUUUUUAAACGGGUAACUAACUGUGUUGGAAAGAAAGUGGAUGGAGAAUUAUUCCAAAUAUACUAAAUGAAGCCUUUCACCAGAGUUUGCAAAUAUGAAUUAUAACAGUAAAAAUACAAUGAGAACCCACAUUUUUAAGGAAUUACAAAUGAGCAUCCGUGGCACUGCAUGCGUCCUUACUGUCGUUGGGCGGUUUCUUCCUAAAGAAAGAAGCCCUCUUGGUACUUACAGAAAUUCAACCUCUAGCGCCCUGUGCCUUCCACCCUGUCACUGUUAACAGCUACUGCCACACAUGUAUGUAGUAUAGGAAGGAUUGGCAGCCUCGCCUUGUUGCAUGGAGGGUGAGUGCUGCUGGAACACGUUAAGGACCUGAAGUUGCGAAUGUGGUGAGGGGAAUUGCCCUCAGAAGCAAUACGGCAGGGGAGUCCUGUGAGGGUGGUUUUCUUAGCUUUGCUGGGGUAACAGGACACAUUGGCGGAGACUUUCCCCAUUGUCCAAAUUCCUAAUUAGAGCCCCAGCUAAAGCAAAAGAGGCCACAGCGCCGCAUAUUCUGAAGAGAGCUGCCAGCAGUUGGGGGCAGGGUUCCUGUCCUGCUGAAAGAGCCCGGCUCUGUCAGCCAACCCAGCUCUCUCCAGGCUGCACCCCUCUGGAAGAAGAGAGGAGGAGAGAGUGGGGGAGGAGGCAGGAGACUCCAGUCUGCAGGGGUCCUGUGCUUUCCCCUCUGGGAGGGGACAUCUUCCUUGCCAAGUUCCCUGUCCCCACACCGCACAGCCACAGGAACAUCUCAGACUUUGCGGGUGUCUCUAGCCCUGGCUGGAUUCUGCUCGCACCCCCCACACCCAUCUGAGGGGGCAGUUCAGAGCUGGCGGAGCAAGGCACACCCACAGCUUUGUGGGGGCCCGGGGCUGUGAGCUUUGUCUGGGGCCUGUGGGAGAGAGCUUGGCUUGAGCUCUCCUGGCUCUCUCCACAAAGAGUCUUCUCUGGGGAAAGCUAUGAGCCACCUUGGGCACACACCAUCAGGAGCUCCUGAGGCUGUGUCACAGGCGUGCAUCCUUAACUCUGGCAAGGUAAAAUUCCUAAAUUGACUGAUACCUUUCUCAGAUAUUCAGGGUUCACAGGGGGGCAGGGUCUGAAGCGAGAAUGGAGAGAGAACUUUGAGGGCUCUCCAGGGUGGAGGGCCUGGGGAAAACUCAUCUGCAGACCCCCCCACCCUCACCCCGAGAAUGCCUGGGGACCACAGAAGGCUCAGGGCAGUGUGGGGAGGGCCUUUACUUCCACAGUUCAGCUGUAAAAGGCUGGUCCCUUCUCCCUUGCCCUGCCUGGUCCCCAGCCGGGAGGAGUAGGAUGGGAGUAGGAGGAAGGAGAAAGAUGCAAAGAAAGGCUGUGCCUGCUUCAUGUCCCUCCAGCCCAGAGUUCUUGUUUGUUUGUUCUGUAUGUUGUGGCAAUUCAACAGAGCCUAUGGAAAUCUUUUUAGAAAAAAAUGUUUAUUUUAAAAAGGUAUGUGCUAAAAUACGUAGUAUUAUAAAGAAAACUAUAUUAAAAUGCACUUAUCAAAAUAUUAAAAAAAUUAUCAACAUAGUAAUAUACAUAUUUCUUUAUUGAUACAUUAAAUAAUACUGUCUAGAAGACACAUUUUAGAAUACUGCUGAGUAUAAAUAAUAUUUCAUAAUACCGGAAAUGAUUGUAAUAUGAUACCUAUUUUUUCUAUUGGUGAUAAUGCCUCAGAUACUGUUAAUACUAUAGUGGUUUGUGGCCUUUAGUCAUAAUUGAAAGAAAUGCUACAUUUCAGAAGGUUGGUGAGAGUAAACAUAUACUUUAUCCCCCAUCCAAGUUCAUGGAUGCUGGACUCCAUGGAGCUGACUCGGAGGGUCACUGCAACAAGAAUGGGCAGGGCCUGAGGGUAGCACAAGAGGAUAGCUUUUAUCUAGACAGGACUGGACUGUCCCUAGUCCCUAAAAGGAAUCCAAAAGCUCAGGGAUCUGUUCAAGUUAGUGUUAAGGGAUAGGAACCACCACUUUGCACAGUGCAGUUGGCACUGAGUGCAGGAAAGUGAGCACUUUCGUCCCCCUCAGAUGUCUGUUUCAGUGUUAAUUUAACAGAAACUCAUGGGCUUUGAAACUGGACUGCCUGUGUUUGAAUUAUAAAUGAAUUUGGACAAUUAUUUACUUACUCUGAACUCAGUUUCAUCACUUGUAGAACUUUGUAGGUUGUGGAUAAAUUAGAUGACCUGUGUAAUGCGCUUAGAACGGAAUGUGGCAAGGGUUUGAAUGUGGGCCCCUGGGCAGUGUGACUCCCCCACAGGGUCCUUCCCCCAUGUCCUUUCUCAACUCCACGAGGGUCUGUGGGUUAAAGAAGAAUCAAAAUGAGCCCUGUGGUUUCCCAGCAGAUGUGAUUGUUCAUUUCUCAUCAUGUUGCCGUUGCUAGCAACCUGGUUAUAAAUAGAAAGAAACUCAUGUCCUCGUUGCUAUGUGAUCCCCAUGGCUCAUAUGACACAAUGUCCCAGGGAAGCCAACCUUCGUCGCUACAAAAUAGCUUCCUAAAUAGGCCAGCAGGCAUUAUUAGCAUCCUAAUAGGUUCUGUUGAUGAAGUCAUCCUUAUCAGGUAGUAUUCCAGGGGCUUUGGGUGGCAUAAUUCAAACACAGUAAGCCCAGCAAUGGUCCAUUUUAAUUAUCGCUACCCUGAGCCCUGACUUAGAAAUGUUGACUCCUCUGAAUGUCCAGCUUUGUAACUUAAUAUUUGUGAGACAAGGACAAUAACACCUUCACGGCCUUUUAAUUUUCCCAAUUGUUUUGUAUGAAUUACAUUAAGGAAAGUCUGAAGAUACUAAGAUUUCCAACUUGCUGCUCUGUGUUUAAGGUAUUUAUGCAGGAACAAGGUAAAUGCAAAAACCAAACACAGGCCACUUAUUAAUACUUUGUGUUUUAUUUUGUUUUACUUCAGUUAUUUAAUGAUAGAUUUCCUUGUUCCACUUUUGUAUUCUAUUUCCCUCCGUCCUUUCCAAAUGGGAUAGUUCUGUUUAAUUGAACACAAUUAUAUGAAAAACACUUAUUACUUUUAAAAAAUUAAAAAUCAUCGCUUCUUAGGCUUUUGGCUAAGAUCGAGUGUAAUAUCUGUUCUUAUCAGUUUAAAAAAUUAACAAGAAAGUAUAAGAGUUAUACUUUUAUUAUAAAAGUAUAAGAACAUUUUAAGAAUUAUAAAUAAAAAAUUAGGCAAUUCAAGUAACCGGUUUUUCAAUCAUAUUGAAACUUAUUUUCAAAGUAAGACCCAUUCUAAUAGAUCUCCCAAAUGAAAAUUACAGCUUGUGACACAUCCCCCCGUGUCCCUGCGCCCUGGCCAUCCAGGGAACCUGAAGGGCCCUGUUCUGCUCCUGGGGCUUCACGCACCCUUCCUGACUUUGUGUUAAGCAUCUGACCUUUGUGUUCGACUUGAUCACGAAGUCAGACAUGAGAAUAAGCCUCUGUAUCAAUUAGCCUUGGUUGAACAACAAGCCAACCCAAACAUGACUUAAACCAUUUUAUCUGCUGACUGUUGUGUAGAUGUGCACAGGUAAUUUGAACUGGGCCCCCCAGGAUGGCUCUCUAUGGUGCUGGCUCAUUCAAGCACCUAUCAGUGGAUGGUCAAUUGCUUCACUUAUAUCUGGCAUUGGCUGGGGGGCCGGAGGCAUAUCCUGCUCAUCGCCCUGCAGCACAGCCUCUUCCUGUGGUGCCACACAGUCAGAGUUCCCAAGAGCAGCAAGAGAGAGGCCUCAGUGCAAAAGCACUUAGCCUCUGCUGAUGUCACAUGUGCUGAUGCUUCCUUGGCCAAAGGAAAGCACAUGGCCAAGCCCAGAUUCAGGGCUUGGUGCCAUGAACUCUACCUCUUGAGGUGGGGACAGGGGCUGCAAAGUCACAUUGCAAAGGGAUGCGAAUAUAGGCGCAGAAAUAAUAUACUGUUUUUCUUUUUAUUUGCCGUAAUAUACUUAUGUGAUAUCCUUAUCUGCCAUAAUAUCCUUAACAUAAUGUUAAAGAUUGAUCAUAUAUUCCUAAGAGAGAAAUAGGAUCGUAUAAUUCUAACCUUUCACAAUAUUAUUGACAUUUUACUUGACUUUCUAGACAUAAAAUGAAAUUCUAAUUCCCAAGAGCUUUCCCCCCAGUAUUUAACAUUCUUUUCUGGGCUAGAUUUUUCGCCAGUCUCCCCUCUCCUUUACUACCAGGUUAUUGAAGCUGUUCUUUUAAAACUACGAGGAAGAAGAAACAGAGCGCUCUCGGGAAAUGUUGAAAAAGCAGAGCCCCAUUCAUCACAGCACAGGUUGAAGAGACCAGCUCUCCCCGAUAUUGGCAGAAUUUCCAUCACAGGAAUAAGCUUUUGAAAAGCAAACUGACAGAUGAGAGCAGUGAAAUCCACUGAGUGGGCCGUGGAGAACAGCUGUGUUUGAGAGGCAUCUCAGCGAUGUGAAUGAGGCCGGGAGGAGCCAUGAAGACGGCACUGCCUGUGGGGCCCCCGAUAAAUGAUGGCACUGAGCAAUUGGCAGGACUGUGGGCGUGGGAGGGGUCCCUAGGCCCCACCCCCCUCUGCUCCUGUUUGUGUAAUUAACAGCCUGCUUCCUAUCAGGGGCUCUGCCUUCAGUGCUCUCUGCUGCGGCUCUUACCAGCGAGGCCUGGAGGGGCGGCUCCUUCACCUGCCCUGUCCUGGUUUUUGCUCCCGCCUGCCCCGUGAGCCAGGGGAUGCAUUCACAGCUGCUCUUUUUGAUGUAUAAAGUGUGUUUGAACAUUAUGCCAAAUAUCAAAAUGUGAAGGACUAAUCCAGGAUGCAAAAACAUUAUGGGGGGUUGUAAAUACGAACUAUACAACAGUUUAGGAUGCAAUUAUGAGUGUAAACUGUGUGCCUUAUUUAUACUUCGUUGUCUCCAGCUUCUCAGAUAAAGUUUUGAUGUGUUGUACAGUGGAAUAUCUUAGAUACUUUUUGGAAAGUUUUUACAUAAGUUAUAUCACAAUUAAAAUGUUGAAUUUCAAAAAAAAAAAAAAAAAGAGGCAUUCGUUUGAGAUUGCCUGGGGUCCUGUGGUUUGCUGAAUAAGACUCAGUGUGGGGAACUGUAGACUCUUCCUGAGAAGCUCAAUUCCAAAAGGAAAAGGGAAAUGCCGACUGGGAUUCCCUGACAGGCAUUGGUUAGCUUAGCUGCUGUCUCUGUCCACUGAUAACUGGAGCUUUUAGAAAGGCAUCCUCUGCAGCUCAGCAUCAGCUUCUCCGCCUGCUGUCCCCUCCGGGAGGCGGCCCGCACCUCAGAAGCAGACACUGUUGUGCCUGGGUCCGGUGGCGUCUGGCCAACAGGGGCUGGAUGGGGGGCAACAGCAGCAGGAGGAGGACAGAGGAGGUGUUUACUCAGGGUCUCCUGUUAGGGUGCUGUAGGGUGUUGGGUUUCUCUGCUGGAAGCUGCAGCUCUGGUCACCACCUUCUCAAACUAUAGGGCUGCCCACCGGGCAUGGUGGCUCACGCCUGCAAUCCCAGCACUUUGGGAGGCCGAGGUGGGUGGAUCACCUGAGGUCGGGAGUUCGAGACCAGCCUGACCAACCUGGAGAAACCCCAUCUCUACUAAAAAUACAAAAUUAGCCGUGUAUGGUGACACAUGCCUGUAAUCCCAGCUACUCGGGAGGCUGAAGCAGGAGAGUCGCUUGAACCCGGGAGGUGGAGCCUCCUCCCAUCUGCCCCCUCCCUUGGGCUUUCUGGAGAGAUGGACAAAGUACAGUAUUAAGGCUACCGCUUCUCUCUGUGCAAACAGCCCUCUUCCCAUUUUAGGAAGGGAGCUCUUUAUGCUGGAGAGACCCCCACGAACCAAGGAGCAGCUCAAAGCAAGCUUCCAUGUCCUUCCAGGGGUCUGUGGAUCUUCUGCUACUGCUUUAGCAUCUCUGCUCUCCUCCCCUUCCCAGGCUCUGAUAGAACCCUGAGGGCCUCACUUCCCUUGCUCCUGGACUUGCAACUAGGAAUACAUUUAAAAAGUCUCCUCCAGAGGAGCACAACUGCAGCUAAGCCGUUUGUUGUUGCUGUGAGCCAAGAUCACGCCAUUGCACUCCAGCCUGGGCAACAAGACUGAAACUCCAUCUCAAACAAAACAAAACAAAACAAAACAAAACACUAUGGGGCUGCCCUCCAGGGCUAUGGAUAAGACUUCUUCCCCCUCUCUGCAGCCCUGAGGCUGCGGACCACUGGUCUAGUGGACUAGACAUUACUGCUUUUCCUAAACCCUGCCCCUAUCUUGGUAAAAUGUCCCUUCAUCCUAAGGUCCUUAAUGUCAGCUGUUCGCUGCAGCAUCCUGACUAAUGCACAGCUGAGAGGCAGUCAGAAGCCAGCAACAAUGAGGGUGAUUUUAAAAGACCAUGACGAAUGUGUACACAGAAUACUCAGUGGCCCCAAUCCCAUACAGGUGCUGAAGGUGGGCUACGAACUGCACACUAAGGUUCUGUAGGGAAAUGAAUUAGGAUUGGUGGUAGAUUUUCCACUGAAUCUUCUUGUAAUACAGUUCUCUAAGUGCUUCCCUGUACCCACAGUUCUAAAUGAUCUUCAGUGGAGAGUAUUUGUCUGUGUGUGUGCGUGGGUGCCUUAAUACUUCUGGAAGCAUCC